CCGUAGUUGCCAUCGGGUCAAGCCGGAGACUCUAGCGGGACUGCCACCGUAAGGUGAGAGGAAGUGGGGAUGACGUCAAAUCAGCACGGCCCUUAUGUCCAGGGCUACACACGUGUUACAAUGGCCGGUACAGAGGGCAGCUACCUGGUGACAGGAUGCUAAUCCCGAAAGCCGGUCCCAGUUCGGAUUGGAGUCUGCAACCCGACUCCAUGAAGUUGGAUUCGCUAGUAAUCGCGCAUCAGCCAUGGCCGCGGUCGAAUACGUUCCCGGGCCUU
RNAcentral lists this ribosomal RNA (275 nucleotides) under uncultured Sphingobacteriales bacterium. Its description in RNAcentral is "partial 16S ribosomal RNA". It matches the Rfam family "Bacterial small subunit ribosomal RNA", at positions 1108 to 1382 of the family's 1533-position model. Lineage: Bacteria; Pseudomonadati; Bacteroidota; Sphingobacteriia; Sphingobacteriales. The record is from RNAcentral.